GGCGCAGAGGGAGAUACCGAGGCCGAGAGGGGCCAAGCCCCUCAGUCGCCCCAGAAGACGGGAACACGGGGUAAAGAUGGUUUACAUCUCGAAUGGACAAGUAUUGGACAGCCGGAGUCAGUCCCCAUGGAGAUUAUCUUUGAUAACAGAUUUCUUCUGGGGAAUAGCAGAGUUUGUGGUUUUGUUUUUCAAGACUCUGCUUCAGCAAGAUGUGAAAAAGAGAAGAGGAUAUGGAAGCUCCUCUGAUUCCAGAUAUGAUGAUGGAAGAGGGCCACCAGGCAACCCUCCCAGAAGAAUGGGUCGAAUUAAUCAUCUACGUGGCCCUAGUCCUCCUCCAAUGGCUGGUGGAUGAGGAAGGUAAAUGUCUGCUCUAGGAAGCAGACAAGUGGACAUGCACAUUCAUAACUGAGGGAAACCAUCAAGAAGUAGAGCACUGACCAUGCUGGACAAGGAAUUGAAUGUGUAUGCCUGAACAAGGAUUGCUCUGUGUCCUCACAGACAAAUGAGGUCGUGCUGGGAAUUCCCUCCCCAGGGAUCUGGCAUGACUGACAUGCAGUUCUAUAAAUGUACAUGUUUGUCUCAUCAUUUUGUAUAGUUUAUGAAAGUAUUAAUGUAGUUUUAAUAAGUAAAUAUUUUUAGGUUACAGAACUUGACUUCUCAUCUUUGUAUAAUUAAAAAACUCGAUUUGAAGAAAAAUAAAACGUUGUGUAUUCAGUACAAUUAGUGUCACCUCUUUAACUUCUGAAAUAGUAUUCAUUGUUAAUUUGUUCUCAUUUAUAAAUAAAUCACAUUGUAUUUAU
RNA transcript from Zalophus californianus (California sea lion), 800 nucleotides. It is a transcript of the gene named selenoprotein K, with no coding region annotated. NCBI's taxonomy places the organism in Eukaryota, Metazoa, Chordata, Mammalia, Carnivora, Otariidae. The transcript is spliced from 5 exons. The record is from RefSeq and is a predicted model, not a curated record.